Molecule: RNA transcript, 2548 nt
Organism: Elaeis guineensis (African oil palm)
Lineage: Eukaryota; Viridiplantae; Streptophyta; Magnoliopsida; Arecales; Arecaceae
Gene name: bifunctional TH2 protein, mitochondrial
Source: RefSeq, a predicted model, not a curated record
CGCCUAUAAAUACCCGUCGUCUCCGCACGCCUCUUCCGCAAACCGAGGCCGGGGACCGGACCCCGCUCCCCCCACCCCCAUCUUCUCGCCGUUGAUGAGAUUCCUCUCCCAUCUUCUCCCUCUCCGCCGAAACCCAAACCCUAGCUAUUGCUUCUUCUCGCUCUCCGCACCCAGAUCCCUUGCCUCCACCUGCCCCCGAUUCGGUUUCUUGAAUCGAGAUCGCCCCCCGCGUUGCCUUCCGAAGGGGUUCCGAUCUAUCGCCGCGGCGAAUCAGCGGGCGUCGCCUCCAAGAUUGGUGCCGGAGAGGGCGGUCGCCACGCGUUCUUGGCCUUCUUCAGCCGGACGAGCCAUGGCAGGGGUGGCGGCGGCGGUUGAAGAGGGCUCGGCGGCGAAGCGGUUCUGGAUCAGGUCCCGCAAGGAGGCAGUGUUCGCGGAGUACACCCCGUUCGUGGUGUGCCUGGCGGCAGGGAGACUGGAGAUGGAGGCCUUCCGGAACUACAUUGCUCAGGACGUGCACUUCCUUAGAACUUUUGCCCAAGCGUAUGAGAUGGCGGAAGAGUGUGCUGAUGAUGAUGAUGCGAAGGCUGCAAUAACUGAUCUGAGGAAAGCUGUUUUGGAGGAACUGAAAAUGCACAAUUCAUUUGUCCAGGAAUGGGGCAUAGACCCCACUAAAGAAAUCAUUCCUAUCCCUGCAACAGUGAAGUACACCGACUUUCUGCUUGCAACAGCUGCAGGAAAAGUUGAAGGAGGGAAAGGUCCUGGGAAAAUUGUCACUCCUUUUGAGAAGACAAAAAUUGCUGCUUAUACUGUAGGUGCCAUGACUCCUUGCAUGAGGCUUUAUGCAUUCCUGGGAAAAGAGCUCCAGAUGUAUCUGCAACAUGACGAAAAUGGUCAUCCCUACAAAAAGUGGAUUGAUAAUUAUUCCUCUGAAAGUUUUGAGGCAGAUGCUGUGCAAAUAGAAGAAUUGCUUGACAAAUUGAGUGUUUCAUUGACUGGGGAGGAGCUUGAAGUCAUAGAAAAGCUUUACCGCCAAGCUAUGAAACUUGAAAUUGAAUUUUUUCUUGCUCAGCCAAUUGUCCAACCAGCUGUAGUUCCAUUGACAAGACUGCAUGAUCCAGCAAAUUGCCUUGUCAUUUUUUCUGAUUUUGACUUGACAUGCACUGUAGUUGAUUCCUCUGCCAUUUUAGCAGAGAUUGCAAUAUUAAGUGCUUCAAAGACUGAUCAGACUGGGACUGAAAAUUUGGAUGCUCGAAGAUCUUCUUCAGAAAUGAGAAACUCAUGGGAUGCUCUUUCUAAACAGUAUACAGAAGAGUAUGAGCAGUGCAUAGAAAGCUUACUUCCAGAAGAAGAAGCUAAAACAUUUGAUUAUGAAGGCCUUUACAAAAGUUUGGGCCAGCUCUCUGAGUUUGAGAAACGAGCAAAUUCCAGGGUUAUUGAGUCUGGGGUGCUAAAGGGAAUGAAUCUAGAUGACAUAAAAAGAGCUGGGGAACGUUUGAUCCUUCAAGAUGGUUGUAUAGAUUUUUUUCAGAAGGUUGUGAAGGAAAAGGAAAAUCUGAAUGUAGAUCUCCAUGUACUUUCAUAUUGUUGGUGUGCGGAUCUAAUAAGGUCAGCCUUUUCAUCAGUAGGUUGCCUAAAUGAUUUGAACAUACACUCAAAUGAGUUCAACUAUGAGGAAUCUAUUUCAACGGGCGAAAUUGUUAGGAAGAUGGAAUCACCCAUGGACAAGGUCGAAGCAUUCAAAAGUAUCUUAAGCAACCUUGGAAGCAAUGAGAAGCGCUUAUCUGUGUAUAUUGGAGAUUCUGUUGGUGACUUGCUUUGUUUAUUGGAAGCAGAUGUUGGUAUUGUGAUUGGAUCAAGCACUAGCUUAAGGAGAAUUGGGAAGCAGUUCGGUGUUUCUUUUGUUCCACUCUUCCGCGGUUUGAUAAACAAGCAAAGACAACUUAAUGAAAAAGACUCAUCUAUCUGGAAGGGGUUGUCUGGUGUUCUAUAUACAGCAUCAAGCUGGUCAGAAAUACAAGCUUUUAUUUUGGGGGCAUAAUUUUUUUCAGAUUGUUCCUUGAUCUUGUUUUCUUGUUAUCUUCAAAAAGUUCAAGAAUUCAUGUAUACGAAGAUGUAUAUCAGAACUGUGGCCAAUUUUACAAAAGCCACAGGCCAAUUGUCUUUCCAUUGUUUUCCUUCAGGUUUGCCUUAAAAAUGCUAGUGCUGUAUCGGGCCAUGCAUUCAGAUGUUAAGGCAUUUGUGGCAUUCUAGGAGACAGAACAGAUGCUUUGUGAACUUCGGUGUAUGCAUGUGUUUGUCUAUAAUUUUUGGGUUAUAAGAAAAUUAUUUUUGUUUAGGAACGGUAUUCAGAAUUAGAGGUCAUUAAUUUUGAAGACGUACCAAUUUUUAGGUCUUGAGUAUUUAAGGAUGUAUAAGAAAUUGUAUGAGAGCUUCCUCCUAUCCGGUCAGUAUUUUAGAUGUGUCCGAUUUGAGUCCUUUUGGUCGUGCACUUUAUAAACGAAUUAUAAUUGUAACUACCUCCCUUUCUGUGAUAAGGGGACUUUUAAAA